This 253-nucleotide ribosomal RNA is filed under the name uncultured bacterium. RNAcentral's name for it is "partial 16S ribosomal RNA". It matches the Rfam family "Bacterial small subunit ribosomal RNA", at positions 524 to 776 of the family's 1533-position model. The record is from RNAcentral.
UACGUAGGGUGCGAGCGUUGUCCGGAAUUAUUGGGCGUAAAGGGCUCGUAGGCGGUUUGUCGCGUCGGGAGUGAAAUCCACUGGCUUAACUGGUGGCUUGCUUCCGAUACGGGCAGACUAGAGGUAGGCAGGGGAGAGCGGAACUCCUGGUGUAGCGGUGGAAUGCGCAGAUAUCAGGAAGAACACCGGUGGCGAAGGCGGCUCUCUGGGCCUUACCUGACGCUGAGGAGCGAAAGCGCGGGUAGCGAACAGG